GACGAACGCUGGCGGCGUGCUUAACACAUGCAAGUCGAACGGAAAGGCCCUGCUUUUGUGGGGUGCUCGAGUGGCGAACGGGUGAGUAACACGUGAGUAACCUGCCCUUGACUUUGGGAUAACUUCAGGAAACUGGGGCUAAUACCGGAUAGGAGCUCCUGCUGCAUGGUGGGGGUUGGAAAGUUUCGGCGGUUGGGGAUGGACUCGCGGCUUAUCAGCUCGUUGGUGGGGUAGUGGCUUACCAAGGCUUUGACGGGUAGCCGGCCUGAGAGGGUGACCGGCCACAUUAGGACUGAGAUACGGCCCAGACUCCUACGGGAGGCAGCAGUGGGGAAUAUUGCACAAUGGUCGGAAGCCUGAUACAGCAACGCCGCGUGCGGGAUGACGGCCUUCGGGUUGUAAACCGCUUUCGCCUGUGACGAAGCGUGAGUGACGGUAAUGAGUAAAGAAGCACCGGCUAACUACGUG
Molecule: ribosomal RNA, 468 nt
Filed under: uncultured bacterium
Lineage: Bacteria
Description: partial 16S ribosomal RNA
Rfam family: Bacterial small subunit ribosomal RNA
Source: RNAcentral